This 665-nucleotide long non-coding RNA is filed under the name Homo sapiens (human). Its description in RNAcentral is "non-protein coding lnc-C1D-5:1". Lineage: Eukaryota; Metazoa; Chordata; Mammalia; Primates; Hominidae. The record is from RNAcentral.
AGUAUGGGAAGAUUUGUGGAUUCUGAAAAGCCAUUUGGUUUUCUGUAUGUACUGGAUGUGCGUAUGUGUGUGUGUGUGUAUUUGUGUAGACUAAUUUCCCUAGAUGAUCUGAGCCAAAAAUGAAAAUUUAAAGUUUGUUCUACUAGUCCUGUGAACUGAGGUCACCAAUUGGGAAAGAAAGGAUGAGGAGUCAAUGUACAAGCCCACCUACCUGGUUGCACUGACCCAUGCAGAAAGAACAGCCACUGUGGUAGUGAGCAAGGGCUCUGCGGUGACAGUCUACAGCACAUGAUGGGGACCACAGCAAGUACUCAAUGGGACUGGUGUAUUGUUUAUAUGAUUGAAAGGGGUGCUGUGUUAUUUAGAAAUAGUAUUUACCUGCAUGUAGCAAAGACCUGGAAAAUAAUGGGUUAAUUCUCCCAUAUAAUGAAAGUCAAGCUGUAGGUAGUCUAAAGUUGCAUAGUGUCUCUCCAUGAUUCAGGCUCCAUUCUUUUUUCUCCACUACCCCUAUCCUCAAGAUGAUUUCAUGGUUCAUGAUGACUGCAAGGACCUUGCCAUCAAACCACUGAGAAGGUUUGAAGAAGGAAUAAAGAUAGAAGGGUGGAAAGUGGCACAUCUUCCAUCAGCCAUAAUGGCAGGUGAAGAAAUUAAUGAAGACUAUCCAG